This 418-nucleotide small RNA is filed under the name Arabidopsis thaliana (thale cress). RNAcentral describes it as "ATSL179350". The record is from RNAcentral. Lineage: Eukaryota; Viridiplantae; Streptophyta; Magnoliopsida; Brassicales; Brassicaceae.
UUGAUAUUUUGAGUACAAAGGAUUACUUUUAACUCAAAUAUAUCCAUGAAAGCCCUCUUGGCCCAAUGAUUAACCAAAGGUUCAUUAAUGCUUCUAUACCAAAAGGUCUAGGAUUCGAGUCCCAGCUACUGCGAUUUAUUAGCAAAUUUGCAUAUUAAUGGAGACAAGUGUGCAGGAGGUCUACAACGAUGUACAAUUAUAGUUGUUCGCCAAGAUUCUACGCAGAGAAGAUAUUGAAGGUGUCCAUCAAGCGCAUGGAAAAGAAGAAGAAUGUGUCGUCUCUCUUGGAUCUAAUAAGGGUCGGAAGGAAUUGUCCGUGGUAGAAUCGUCUAUGUAACAGUUCUCAUUAUUUAUAAUAAAUAAUAAAUCUAAAACGGCAAAAAAAAAACCAAAUAUACCCAAAUGUAUAUGAAUUACU